Molecule: ribosomal RNA, 495 nt
Filed under: uncultured bacterium
Lineage: Bacteria
Description: partial 16S ribosomal RNA
Rfam family: Bacterial small subunit ribosomal RNA
Source: RNAcentral
GACGAACGCUGGCGGCGUGCCUAAUACAUGCAAGUAGAACGCUGAAGGAGGAGCUUGCUUCUCUGGAUGAGUUGCGAACGGGUGAGUAACGCGUAGGUAACCUGCCUGGUAGCGGGGGAUAACUAUUGGAAACGAUAGCUAAUACCGCAUAAGAGUAGAUGUCGCAUGACAUUUGCUUAAAAGGUGCAAUUGCAUCACUACCAGAUGGACCUGCGCUGUAUUAGCUAGUUGGUGAGGUAACGGCUCACCAAGGCAACGAUACAUAGCCGACCUGAGAGGGUGAUCGGCCACACUGGGACUGAGACACGGCCCAGACUCCUACGGGAGGCAGCAGUAGGGAAUCUUCGGCAAUGGACGGAAGUCUGACCGAGCAACGCCGCGUGAGUGAAGAAGGUUUUCGGAUCGUAAAGCUCUGUUGUAAGAGAAGAACGAGUGUGAGAGUGGAAAGUUCACACUGUGACGGUAUCUUACCAGAAAGGGACGGCUAACUACGUG